GUGCCAGCCGCCGCGGUAAUACAGAGGGUGCAAGCGUUAAUCGGAAUUACUGGGCGUAAAGGGUGCGUAGGUGGUUAUGUAAGUUGGGUGUGAAAUUCCUGGGCUCAACCUGGGGACUGCGCUCAAUACUGUAUAGCUAGAGUACUGUAGAGGAAGGUGGAAUUUCCAGUGUAGCGGUGAAAUGCGUAGAUAUUGGAAGGAACAUCAGUGGCGAAGGCGACUUUCUGGACAGAUACUGACACUGAGGCACGAAAGCGUGGGGAGCAAACAGGAUUAGAAACCCUAGUAGUCC
RNAcentral lists this ribosomal RNA (292 nucleotides) under uncultured bacterium. RNAcentral describes it as "partial 16S ribosomal RNA". It matches the Rfam family "Bacterial small subunit ribosomal RNA", at positions 505 to 796 of the family's 1533-position model. The record is from RNAcentral.